Molecule: ribosomal RNA, 703 nt
Filed under: Pseudomonas sp.
Lineage: Bacteria; Pseudomonadati; Pseudomonadota; Gammaproteobacteria; Pseudomonadales; Pseudomonadaceae
Description: bacterial SSU rRNA
Rfam family: Bacterial small subunit ribosomal RNA
Source: RNAcentral
GCAGUUCUAGCGGUANAGAGAAGCUUGCUUCUCUUGAGAGCGGCGGACGGGUGAGUAAUGCCUAGGAAUCUGCCUGGUAGUGGGGGAUAACGUUCGGAAACGGACGCUAAUACCGCAUACGUCCUACGGGAGAAAGCAGGGGACCUUCGGGCCUUGCGCUAUCANAUGAGCCUANGUCGGAUUAGCUAGUUGGUGAGGUAAUGGCUCACCAAGGCGACGAUCCGUAACUGGUCUGAGAGGAUGAUCAGUCACACUGGAACUGAGACACGGUCCAGACUCCUACGGGAGGCAGCAGUGGGGAAUAUUGGACAAUGGGCGAAAGCCUGAUCCAGCCAUGCCGCGUGUGUGAAGAAGGUCUUCGGAUUGUAAAGCACUUUAAGUUGGGAGGAAGGGCAGUUACCUAAUACGUAUCUGUUUUGACGUUACCGACAGAAUAAGCACCGGCUAACUCUGUGCCAGCAGCCGCGGUAAUACAGAGGGUGCAAGCGUUAAUCGGAAUUACUGGGCGUAAAGCGCGCGUAGGUGGUUUGUUAAGUUGGAUGUGAAAUCCCCGGGCUCAACCUGGGAACUGCAUUCAAAACUGACUGACUAGAGUAUGGUAGAGGGUGGUGGAAUUUCCUGUGUAGCGGUGAAAUGCGUAGAUAUANGAAGGAACACCAGUGGCGAAGGCGACCACCUGGACUAUACUGACACUGANGUGCGA